AGUUGGUUGUUGGCAGUCACUCGGUAUUGUUGAUUUGUGUGUCUGCUGAAGAAAUUGCGGGUGAAAUUGAGUUGUUCGACACGUAAAUGUUAAUUUCAGUAAUUUUCUUAGGGGAAAAGGGUUCUGUGUUAAGCACUGUAGAAUGAAUGCUUCCUUCUUAAUUUGAGGAUUGCAUGAAGAAGUUGCCGUGUGAUUCAAUAUGAAGUGAAUAGGCAUAAGAAGUUUGCGAAAUAAAUUGGUGAUAUCGAUCGAAAGUUGAAAGUGAAAGUUCUAUAUGUGUUAGAAAUUAUUUGUGGGUUAUAAUUUGAAGAAAGAAAAAAAAAGAUUGCGCAAUAACUUAUACCGAAAAUUGGACUCAUCGAAGCGUGAAAUGUGAUUUUGUGUGUCUUCAGAAGCACAAAAGAUUUAUCCAUAAAAGUGUAAAGGUGCGAUAGUGGCAUUAAAUUGAAAUUGAGGGUGUUAGGAGUUCAAGGAGGAGACACUGCCAUCUGACCAGCUGAGGAGGAUGCUCAAGGGAAUGGGGAUAGUGACUACAACAUUGGGAGGCACAAAAACAAGCAUAUACGGCACUAGUGGAAUGCCCAGGCAGUACUGAUAGCACGCCUACGGACCUCCAUAUGCUAUCACUCUUGCUUUCGCAGAACUCCAUCACGACUGACAUGAAUAGGAGUGAGCAGGAGAAUCUCUUUCGGCAGGCGCACGAUAUUCGGUUGAAGCAGGAGGAGAGGGCACGUCAACAGAGACCCAGGCACUACUCCCACGGAAAUAUCCGACAUCUGGCCACCCUGCACUCAGCCGACACGAGAUCAGUGGGUGCUGGGGUGCGCGAUGAUCUCAUGCUGUCGGUGCUGAAGAGUCCACUCCUCAUCGAACGUCGUCAUUCGCCGGCUACCCAGGCUCCCAUCAUCUCCACCACGAGAUGUGCCUAUGCUGCCCUACGUGGUUCGGAAGAUGAACUUGUGGACGACACAACGGCUCAGGCUGGUAAUCCUGGGCCAACCUUUCACUUCUUGAAGCGCUUCCGUCCGAACACCUCGCCACGCUUUGAGGGACGCUCUCGACGCGUGUCUGCACCCCUCAAGCACAAGAACCGACCUCGAUCUCACAUCAAAGCCAACAUCAUCGAUCCUGCAUCUCCGGGGAAUGAGGAAAUUGUGGGAGAUGACGAGGAUGAUGCUGUAAUUGAAGAAAUCGAUGCAACGGAUUCAGGUGUUCAAGAUCCAUAUUAUCCCAUAGCUCUUCCUAUCGAUCAAGCAUAUAAAGCGAAAUAUGCAUUUCAAAGACGGCACGGGAGGACUUUUCAGGAGCGUGUUUAUGUGUUCCUCGAGCACCCUGGUGGGUGGUUAUGCUUCAUUUACCAUUUUACUGUGUUUAUGCUCGUGCUCGUAUGCCUAAUUUUUAGUGUUCUAUCGACAAUUGAGGAGUACACGGAUUUCACAAACGAAACACUAUUCUGGAUGGAAAUAUGGCUUGUGGUAUUCUUCGGCUUAGAAUACAUUGUUCGUCUCUGGUCUGCAGGAUGCCGUUCAAAAUACAUGGGGCUGUGGGGACGAUUACGCUUCAUACGGAAACCCAUAUGCAUUAUAGACUUGAUCGUCGUGGUGGCGUCCAUGGUAGUACUAUCUGUUGGGUCAAAUGGUCAGGUCUUUGCAACAAGCGCCAUUCGCGGGAUUCGCUUUCUGCAGAUACUACGUAUGCUGCAUGUCGAUCGACAGGGCGGCACGUGGCGACUACUCGGCUCUGUUGUCUACAUCCAUCGCCAAGAAUUGAUUACGACGCUCUACAUUGGAUUCUUGGGGCUCAUCUUCAGUUCGUACUUUGUGUAUCUGGCAGAGAAGGAUGUGGUUGGUCCAGAUGGCAAGAAACACUUUGCCAGCUACGCAGAUGCUCUCUGGUGGGGUGUUAUUACGGUUACGACCAUAGGAUAUGGAGAUGCCGUACCACAAACUUGGCUGGGCAAAAUUGUAGCGUCGUGCUUCAGUGUCUUUGCCAUUUCAUUUUUUGCACUCCCUGCUGGUAUUCUUGGCUCUGGCUUUGCCCUAAAAGUGCAACAGAAGCAACGUCAGAAGCAUUUCAAUCGCCAAAUACCUGCUGCAGCAAUGCUCAUACAAUGUUUAUGGCGUUGCUAUGCUGCCGACAAGAAAUUCCAUAGUGAAGCUACGUGGGAUAUUCAUGUGCAGAACAAAGAAGAUGAGGCACAUCAACAGUCGGGAUCCACGGUACUUCCAACACAAUUGGGAAAGACCCUAAUGGUACAGGUGGCAAAACGCGGAGCGAGCGUCCUAAAGCGUCGCAAGAGUCGCAAUCGAAUGGAGCAGACAGCAGCAGCGUGUAGUACCCCGACUACCCAGACAGCUGGUGAGCAGCCAACGCCAAGGAGCGAGUCAACUGAGGGUGACGCUGCUUUUUACAAUGACGACACACGCAUUGGAACACCAAACCGAAAUCGAAGAGAAAAGGAAACAACCAGAGGAAUUUUUGCAAGUCAAACGAGUUCAGUCACGGAAGGGGCUAGCGAUGAAGUGGAACAGUCUGAGCAAUUGGAACAGGACCAAGAGGGAGACGAUGAUGCAGAACCAGCUCGAGUGACCUCAUUGACCGAAACUCAUAAGAAUGCAAUACGUGCCAUUCGCAAGAUUAAGUACUUUGUGGCCAGGAGGAAGUUCCAGCAAGCACGAAAGCCAUACGAUGUCCGGGAUGUCAUUGAGCAGUAUUCUCAGGGUCAUCUCAACAUGAUGGUGCGCAUCAAGGAGCUUCAGAGGCGCCUGGAUCAGACUCUGGGAAAACCAGGAAGUUACUUGGUGAGUGGAGAUAGAAUGGGUAAUAUGAAACCCAUGACAGUGGGUGCUAGGCUGUACAGUGUGGAGCAGAAAAUUGGUGGGAUGGAGAAACAGAUGACGGAAGUGGUCAACAAUAUGUCUGCAAUUCAUAAUCAAUUGCAGAGUGUCACAAUGCUCCUCACUCAGUAUUUGCACACUCAGGCUCCCAUUGAGCCAUCAAAUAGCUCCCUGAAUGCAUCUAUGACAUCUCAAUUGAAAUACAUCGAGGAUGACAUGUAAGCUGACUAUUAAUUCGUAUCUCAACAGGAACGAAAAUUGAGUUAAAUUAUACCAAGCGCGAUAUUUUGUAAUCUGAUAGAUUAAUGCUUUGGGAAGCGUAAAAUAACAUGGGCAUUGCAAUUAUCACCAGAUAUUGCAUUAAAAGUUACAAAAUAAUUGACUGUACUAACGUUUACCUCUACGAAAAUAUUAUUUUUUCCAAAUGUAUGAUUUGCGUACACUGGAAAAAAUGUCUUGUUAAACGAACAAAUGGAUUUUUUUUAGCCUUAAUGGAACUUUCCAAGUAAACUUUCAUUUUGCAUUGAAUACCGGCUCCCAGUACCCGAUCUGGGUACUGUGCUAAACCUCUAAUCUGAAACCGUCUUUACUCCCCAGAAGCCGGAUUUGGGUCUUGUUUAAGGAAUAAGGGCGUUACUCAAAUAAUUUAUGGGCGGUACUUACCAAGAAUGUUCACAUCUGCCCCUACUAAAAAUUGUAUCAAAAAGCAAAGUUACUGAAAUCUACACCGAAA
Phlebotomus papatasi is the source of this 3570-nucleotide RNA transcript. It is a transcript of the gene named potassium voltage-gated channel subfamily KQT member 1-like, with no coding region annotated. The record is from RefSeq and is a predicted model, not a curated record. The transcript has 11 exons. NCBI's taxonomy places the organism in Eukaryota, Metazoa, Arthropoda, Insecta, Diptera, Psychodidae.